CCUUAGACCACUGCACCACUCGGGAGCCCACAGGUGAACCAGGGAGCCACAUCAAUCCAUGCUUUUGCCUGGCAGCCACGAGGGGAUGUUGAUCGAGAAGAAACAAUAACUACUGCUAGCUGUGGUGUAGAGGCACUUUUUGGCCAGACACUUCUGCCUGAGGAUCCUGAAGGAGAUGAGGCUGUCCAAGCUCAAGGAUCUCAGUGCCAGAAUCGCCAAGACGCACCUGGGACUGGAGACGCAGCUGAUUGGCCACAGUUUCCAGCAGGAAACUGGAGAUGGGGGCGGAGCUCCUGCAGGCCAACGCCCAGCUGCUGGUGGGACACGCCCUCAGCCAGGGCCUCUGGCAGCAGAUGGAUCAGGCCCCUCCCAGGUCCCAACCUGACCACAGCAGGAAG
Long non-coding RNA from Oncorhynchus tshawytscha (Chinook salmon), 398 nucleotides. NCBI's taxonomy places the organism in Eukaryota, Metazoa, Chordata, Actinopteri, Salmoniformes, Salmonidae. The record is from Ensembl.